Molecule: transfer RNA, 63 nt
Filed under: Hydroides norvegica
Lineage: Eukaryota; Metazoa; Annelida; Polychaeta; Sabellida; Serpulidae
Description: tRNA-Gln
Source: RNAcentral
UAGUUGAUAGUGUAAAAAGCACAGCACUCUUUGAAAGUGAAGGUGGGUUAUCCCCUGAACUAA